UACGUAGGGUGCGAGCGUUAAUCGGAAUUACUGGGCGUAAAGCGUGCGCAGGCGGUAAUGCAAGACAGAUGUGAAAUCCCCGGGCUUAACCUGGGAACUGCAUUUGUGACUGCAUUGCUGGAGUGCGGCAGAGGGGGAUGGAAUUCCGCGUGUAGCAGUGAAAUGCGUAGAUAUUAGGAAGAACACCAGUGGCGAAGGCGCUCUACUGGGCCAUUACUGACGCUGAUGGACGAAAGCUAGGGGAGCGAAAGGG
RNAcentral lists this ribosomal RNA (253 nucleotides) under uncultured bacterium. RNAcentral's name for it is "partial 16S ribosomal RNA". It matches the Rfam family "Bacterial small subunit ribosomal RNA", at positions 524 to 776 of the family's 1533-position model. The record is from RNAcentral.